AAAAUUCACUAUCAUUUUUAUGCAAAAACAUCUCUCUCCCACCGCCUAACCGACGCCACCACUCCCUCUUGUUCAUGGCAAGCCAGCAGCAGCGCCACCAACGGUGUCAUAUUUGUUUCUUCUUUAGCUAGCUGAUUUAAUUCGGAGUCUGGAACGGUGGAACCUGCUAGACUAUGCUUUCUAUUUUCUUGCCCAAAUUUUUUUUUCUUUGUCAAAUCAGAGGGCCUUUGGUGGCAACCUCCCUCUCUCCUCCAAAAAGCCCACACAAUUACUCACGACCCCAGCCGCCAGCCCGCCAGUGUUGGCAACCUUGCUCUAGAAUUUAUGUUACACAGCUAGUGUCAAAAGGAUUUAUUUUCAUGGAUUUUAUGGGUUUGAUUUUGUAUCUUCUUUUUUUUUUUUUUUUUUUCUUUUUUAUGAAUUUAUGUUCAUGGAGUUGAGGUGGAGGAAUUUUUUAUGGAAUUAGAAGUGAAUAUUUUUGUAUAGCAAAUUUUGGUUGUUUGGAAGA
Molecule: long non-coding RNA, 508 nt
Organism: Pistacia vera
Lineage: Eukaryota; Viridiplantae; Streptophyta; Magnoliopsida; Sapindales; Anacardiaceae
Exons: 2
Source: RefSeq, a predicted model, not a curated record